This 217-nucleotide non-coding RNA is filed under the name Helicotheca tamesis. The record is from RNAcentral. Lineage: Eukaryota; Bacillariophyta; Thalassiosirophyceae; Lithodesmiales; Lithodesmiaceae.
GAAAAAAAGUCCAUCCAAUAGAGAGAUUUUCCGUAUUUCUGAACAUUCGAGCUGGUCGUUUUUCUCCCCUUUACUUUUUCUAUAAAUACGUUCAAAAUUGUAUUUUUCUCUCCACCAUGAGUGUACAAACGGGCAACAAAUGUCUCAGAAGCACAAUGAAUAUUCUUUUUUAUUUUUUUUUCCAAAAAAAAAAUAAGAAAAUCAAGCCAAAACAGGC